AAGUCGUAACAAGGUUUCCGUAGGUGAACCUGCGGAAGGAUCAUUAACACGUAUCCAAACGUUAAAUUUCCCCCGUGAAUCUUCAUCCUGCUCUUGUAACCCGCGUAGUUCGCAAUCUCUGAUAAAUCAUAGCCCGGAAAGUUGUAGUGAUUCAGAGACCUCUGGCUACGUGCGAACAUUGGAACAGUUACAAUCGAGCGGUAGUUCUAUAGGCAAUGUUUCCUGCCCGAGUGUACGGUCUACAGGAAUCGUAGAAGCGCUAUCCUUGCACAAUCAAUGAGACUUUCCGACACUGACUGCUUGGGCUUUGCCAAAGGGUCCCCAUGCCCCCUAAUAACCCCACAGUUUAAUGUGAAGCUCAAUGUAAUACAUUGGGUAAAAAAACCGAACAACUGUUCACAAUGGAUAUCUUGGUUCUC
Molecule: unclassified non-coding RNA, 419 nt
Filed under: fungal sp.
Lineage: Eukaryota; Fungi
Description: partial internal transcribed spacer region
Rfam family: Eukaryotic small subunit ribosomal RNA (bases 1-46)
Source: RNAcentral